This 460-nucleotide ribosomal RNA is filed under the name uncultured bacterium. RNAcentral describes it as "partial 16S ribosomal RNA". It matches the Rfam family "Bacterial small subunit ribosomal RNA", at positions 338 to 795 of the family's 1533-position model. The record is from RNAcentral.
CCUACGGGAGGCAGCAGUGAGGAAUAUUGGUCAAUGGGCGGGAGCCUGAACCAGCCAAGUCGCGUGAGGGAAGACGGUCCUAUGGAUUGUAAACCUCUUUAGGCGGGGAGCAAUGCCGGGCACGCGUGCCCGGAGGGAGAGUACCCGCAGAAUACGCAUCGGAUAACUCCGUGCCAGCAGCCGCGGUAAUACGGAGGAUGCGCGCGUUAUCCGGAUUUAUGGGGUUUAAGGGGUGCGUAGGCGGAUUUUUAAGUCAGCGGUAAAAUGUCCGGGCACAACCCGGGCCGGCCGUUGAAACUGGGGAUCUUGAGUGGGCGAGAAGUAUGCGGAAUGCGUGGUGUAGCGGUGAAAUGCAUAGAUAUCACGCAGAACUCCGAUUGCGAAGGCAGCAUACCGGCGCCCGACUGACGCUGAGGCACGAAAGCGUGGGGAUCGAACAGGAUUAGAUACCCCAGUAGUC